AGGUAGCCAAGGAGACUCUGGAUUAUAAUAAGAGUAUCAAGUGCAAUGGCUGCAAAUAGCAGCCUCCUCGGUAGUGUAUGCAGUCUGCUGCCUGUAUAGGUCACCCUAAGGGACCUUGGCAACAGCC
This is a small nucleolar RNA of 127 nucleotides. Its record names the gene SNORA70. It matches the Rfam family "Small nucleolar RNA SNORA70". Rfam says of the family: snoRNA U70 seems to be exclusive to mammals and is a member of the H/ACA class of snoRNA which contain H (ANANNA) and ACA box motifs. The record is from Ensembl.